Molecule: non-coding RNA, 45 nt
Filed under: Schistosoma mattheei
Lineage: Eukaryota; Metazoa; Platyhelminthes; Trematoda; Strigeidida; Schistosomatidae
Source: RNAcentral
GUCCAGCUGACGAGUCCCAAAUAGGAUGAAACGCGUGUCCUGGAU